This 701-nucleotide long non-coding RNA is filed under the name Triticum aestivum (bread wheat). Its description in RNAcentral is "long non-coding RNA (TAES_LNC000836)". Lineage: Eukaryota; Viridiplantae; Streptophyta; Magnoliopsida; Poales; Poaceae. The record is from RNAcentral.
CCUGGCCGACGGGAUUGAGACGCACGUUCUCUAACCACCAGCAGCGUUCGAUCCUGCCGUCGGCCAUACUCCAAGCGGCGUGGGCAUCAAGCUCGGCUUCGACACCCGCACCAUCCAGGUCCACUCCCGCCUCCCAUGUCCCGUCUUGCUUCUAUUAUUCUAAUCGGUGGGUGCUUCCCACUAAUUGGUGGUUCCUUCCAGCAUCACUAGGAUCUCUGUUGUUGACUAGUUCCAGGACGGGGACUGGUUAAAUUUUGCAAGUGAUAGGGUUAAUUGACUAGUUCAAUUAAAUCACCAGUAUCCAAUCCACUAAGGAGAGUAAUUUUAAUCGGCCAGUGGCCAAUAGGACUAAUUAACUAGUUCGAGUUCACUAAUAAUUAGCUAGUUCAACUUCCAGUCAGAAUCUGAAUUAAUACCACUGAAUACAUUACAAUCGGGCUAGAGUUCAGUCCGUGUUUUCUUCAGUAACCCUAAUGGCAAUCAUGUGUACGUGCUCCAUUGUGCUGCACCAGGAGCAUUUUGAUAAAUUUGGCCUGAAUUGUCAUGAACAGAACCAGAUACAUUAUUGCCAAGACAUCAGCGCCACACACACCCCCAUCAAAUCCGUCCAACCUCAUCCUGUCUCCUCUCAGAUCUCGGUGGCUGCUCCAUUCUCGGUGCCUGAUUAAGCACAAGGUAUUGUUGUUCAUUCCUUAUUGGAU